GCAAGUCGAACGGUGAAGCCCCGCUUGCGGGGUGGAUCAGUGGCGAACGGGUGAGUAACACGUGAGCAACCUGCCCCUGACUCUGGGAUAAGCGCUGGAAACGGCGUCUAAUACUGGAUACGAGACGUGAUCGCAUGGUCAACGUUUGGAAAGAUUUUUCGGUUGGGGAUGGGCUCGCGGCCUAUCAGCUUGUUGGUGAGGUAAUGGCUCACCAAGGCGUCGACGGGUAGCCGGCCUGAGAGGGUGACCGGCCACACUGGGACUGAGACACGGCCCAGACUCCUACGGGAGGCAGCAGUGGGGAAUAUUGCACAAUGGGCGCAAGCCUGAUGCAGCAACGCCGCGUGAGGGAUGACGGCCUUCGGGUUGUAAACCUCUUUUAGCAGGGAAGAAGCGAGAGUGACGGUACCUGCAGAAAAAGCACCGGCUAACUACGUGCCAGCAGCCGCGGUAAUACGUAGGGUGCAAGCGUUAUCCGGAAUUAUUGGGCGUAAAGAGCUCGUAGGCGGUUUGUCGCGUCUGCUGUGAAAUCUGGGGGCUCAACCCCCAGCCUGCAGUGGGUACGGGCAGACUAGAGUGCGGUAGGGGAGAUUGGAAUUCCUGGUGUAGCGGUGGAAUGCGCAGAUAUCAGGAGGAACACCGAUGGCGAAGGCAGAUCUCUGGGCCGUAACUGACGCUGAGGAGCGAAAGGGUGGGGAGCAAACAGGCUUAGAUACCCUGGUAGUCCACCCCGUAAACGUUGGGAACUAGUUGUGGGGUCCAUUCCACGGAUUCCGUGACGCAGCUAACGCAUUAAGUUCCCCGCCUGGGGAGUACGGCCGCAAG
Molecule: ribosomal RNA, 825 nt
Filed under: Microbacterium sp. TCA1-8_Pa
Lineage: Bacteria; Bacillati; Actinomycetota; Actinomycetes; Micrococcales; Microbacteriaceae
Also listed under: 1 other name
Description: bacterial SSU rRNA
Rfam family: Bacterial small subunit ribosomal RNA
Source: RNAcentral